This 498-nucleotide ribosomal RNA is filed under the name uncultured bacterium. RNAcentral's name for it is "partial 16S ribosomal RNA". It matches the Rfam family "Bacterial small subunit ribosomal RNA", at positions 28 to 507 of the family's 1533-position model. The record is from RNAcentral.
GACGAACGCUGGCGGCGUGCCUAAUACAUGCAAGUCGAACGAGAGCAACCGGUGCUUGCACUGGUCAAUCUAGUGGCGAACGGGUGAGUAACACGUGGGUAACCUGCCCAUCAGAGGGGGAUAACAUCCGGAAACGGAUGCUAAAACCGCAUAGGUCUUCGAACCGCAUGGUUUGAAGAGGAAAAGAGGCGCAAGCUUCUGCUGAUGGAUGGACCCGCGGUGCAUUAGCUAGUUGGUGAGGUAACGGCUCACCAAGGCCGUGAUGCAUAGCCGACCUGAGAGGGUGAUCGGCCACAUUGGGACUGAGACACGGCCCAAACUCCUACGGGAGGCAGCAGUAGGGAAUCCUCCGCAAUGGACGCAAGUCUGACGGAGCAACGCCGCGUGAGUGAAGAAGGUUUUCGGAUCGUAAAACUCUGUUGUUAGAGAAGAACAAGUGCUAGAGUAACUGUUAGCGCCUUGACGGUAUCUAACCAGAAAGCCACGGCUAACUACGUG